Molecule: ribosomal RNA, 148 nt
Filed under: uncultured bacterium
Lineage: Bacteria
Description: partial 16S ribosomal RNA
Rfam family: Bacterial small subunit ribosomal RNA
Source: RNAcentral
CCUACGGGAGGCAGCAGUGGGGAAUAUUGGACAAUGGGCGAAAGCCUGAUCCAGCAAUGCCGCGUGAGUGAUGAAGGCCUUAGGGUUGUAAAGCUCUUUUACCCGGGAUGAUAAUGACAGACCGGGAGAAUACGCUCCGGCUAACCCG